AUAAAUCAAGACUCCCCUUUCUCCCAGCCAAUUGAGAUGAGCUUUAGGAAGCAGACCAGCAGACUCAUAGCAGGAGCAGGCCCGCUUGCUGAACUCUUUGGGGAAGAGGGCCCAGCUGAAGGAGAAGAUGGCUAAGGCCCUACAGCUGGCCUAAGAGGCAAACAUAGUUCCAAGGGGAGAACUGGGGACUCUUGCCUUAAGAAGAGACAGAGGAACUGCAUGAAGCAGUACCCCAGCUCCAUGGAAUAUGUGGAAGAAGAAUUUUGCAUGUUGAAAAGACAGUAAUUUAAGGAGUGACAUCAAAUGAAAGAAAAAUCAGUCUCCUGGAGGAAAAAAAAAAACAACGAAAGAUUCAGAAGAUCAAGCAGCUCUGCCUGUGUAAAACAUCAAGUCCCUCGCCCUAGGACCUUUCACGGGUCAGGGACUGGCUCUUUCAUAGAGGUGAGCACUUAUGUUGCACAACUGAAAGGCAGCUGGGUAAAGGCUCAGGUUGGCCAACCUUGUCACAGGCCAACUGAAGGCAGGAGUCCACUUGUCUAUACUGAAUGAGAGAUGGUAAGUAGCGUGGGGGGCUAGGCAUGCAGUUAAGAUGCUUUUACCU
This is a long non-coding RNA of Chelonia mydas (Green sea turtle), 601 nucleotides long. RefSeq lists it as uncharacterized. The record is from RefSeq and is a predicted model, not a curated record. NCBI's taxonomy places the organism in Eukaryota, Metazoa, Chordata, Testudines, Cheloniidae. The transcript is spliced from 3 exons.